RNAcentral lists this ribosomal RNA (156 nucleotides) under uncultured bacterium. RNAcentral's name for it is "partial 16S rRNA". It matches the Rfam family "Bacterial small subunit ribosomal RNA", at positions 354 to 507 of the family's 1533-position model. The record is from RNAcentral.
UGAGUGAAUAUUGGGCAAUGCCCGCAAGGGUGACCCAGCAACGCCGCGUGGAGGAUGAAGGCCGUAAGGUUGUAAACUCCUGUUAGGAGGGGAAGAAUAAUUCCGACGACUCGGAACUUGACUGUACCCUCAGAGAAAGCCCCGGCUAACUACGUG